UUCCCACUUUUUAAAAUACAUUCACUGGCCCUACAAUUACAUCAAAGCAACGUUGCAUAAAAACUAGAGAGAGCUUCUAUUUCAUUGAUUAAUAAGCCAAAAGCCAAAAGGAAAAAAUUAUAUUUCAUAACUGGUCAAGCAAAAAAUUAAAUGAAAAGAUUUACCUGCACUACGACGAUGGUGCAACGAGUUGGACAUAAAAUCAGGCAAGGACCGUGAGAUUGACGAAUCACAGUUCAAUUCCUAAUUCUGAAUAUUGUAAUAAAGCAUUUGAUAAAAGGGCAAAAUAACAGAAAAAAGGAGGCUAGAUG
This 311-nucleotide long non-coding RNA is filed under the name Citrus sinensis (sweet orange). RNAcentral describes it as "long non-coding RNA (CSIN_LNC001947)". The record is from RNAcentral. Lineage: Eukaryota; Viridiplantae; Streptophyta; Magnoliopsida; Sapindales; Rutaceae.